This 435-nucleotide ribosomal RNA is filed under the name uncultured Flavobacterium sp. Its description in RNAcentral is "bacterial SSU rRNA". It matches the Rfam family "Bacterial small subunit ribosomal RNA", at positions 358 to 790 of the family's 1533-position model. The record is from RNAcentral. Lineage: Bacteria; Pseudomonadati; Bacteroidota; Flavobacteriia; Flavobacteriales; Flavobacteriaceae.
GGAAUAUUGGACAAUGGGCGCAAGCCUGAUCCAGCCAUGCCGCGUGCAGGAUGACGGUCCUAUGGAUUGUAAGCUGCUUUUAUACGAGAAGAAACAUCCCGACGUGUCGGGACUUGACGGUAUCGUAAGAAUAAGGAUCGGCUAACUCCGUGCCAGCAGCCGCGGUAAUACGGAGGAUCCAAGCGUUAUCCGGAAUCAUUGGGUUUAAAGGGUCCGUAGGCGGUUUAAUAAGUCAGUGGUGAAAGCCCAUCGCUCAACGGUGGAACGGCCAUUGAUACUGUUAGACUUGAAUUAUUAGGAAGUAACUAGAAUAUGUAGUGUAGCGGUGAAAUGCUUAGAGAUUACAUGGAAUACCAAUUGCGAAGGCAGGUUACUACUAAUUGAUUGACGCUGAUGGACGAAAGCGUGGGUAGCGAACAGGAUUAGAUACCCGGG